AUUGAACGCUGGCGGCAGUCCUAACACAUGCAAGUCGAGCGGAUGAAGGGAGCUUGCUCCUGGAUUCAGCGGCGGACGGGUGAGUAAUGCCUAGGAAUCUGCCUGGUAGUGGGGGAUAACGUCCGGAAACGGGCGCUAAUACCGCAUACGUCCUGAGGGAGAAAGUGGGGGAUCUUCGGACCUCACGCUAUCAGAUGCGCCUAGGUCGGAUUAGCUAGUUGGUGGGGUAAAGGCCUACCAAGGCGACGAUCCGUAACUGGUCUGAGAGGAUGAUCAGUCACACUGGAACUGAGACACGGUCCAGACUCCUACGGGAGGCAGCAGUGGGGAAUAUUGGACAAUGGGCGAAAGCCUGAUCCAGCCAUGCCGCGUGUGUGAAGAAGGUCUUCGGAUUGUAAAGCACUUUAAGUUGGGAGGAAGGGCAGUAAGUUAAUACCUUGCUGUUCUGACGUUACCAACAGAAUAAGCACCGGCUAACUUCGU
Molecule: ribosomal RNA, 483 nt
Filed under: uncultured bacterium
Lineage: Bacteria
Description: partial 16S ribosomal RNA
Rfam family: Bacterial small subunit ribosomal RNA
Source: RNAcentral